AGUGAACGCUGGCGGUAGGCCUAACACAUGCAAGUCGAACGGCAGCACAGUAAGAGCUUGCUCUUACGGGUGGCGAGUGGCGGACGGGUGAGGAAUACAUCGGAAUCUACUUUUUCGUGGGGGAUAACGUAGGGAAACUUACGCUAAUACCGCAUACGACCUACGGGUGAAAGCAGGGGAUCUUCGGACCUUGCGCGAUUGAAUGAGCCGAUGUCGGAUUAGCUAGUUGGCGGGGUAAAGGCCCACCAAGGCGACGAUCCGUAGCUGGUCUGAGAGGAUGAUCAGCCACACUGGAACGGAGACACGGUCAAGACUCCUACGGGAGGCAGCAGUGGGGAAUAUUGGACAAUGGGCGCAAGCCUGAUCCAGCCAUACCGCGUGGGUGAAGAAGGCCUUCGGGUUGUAAAGCCCUUUUGUUGGGAAAGAAAAGCAGCAGGUUAAUACCCCGCUGUUCUGACGGUACCCAAAGAAUAAGCACCGGCUAACUUCGUG
This 492-nucleotide ribosomal RNA is filed under the name uncultured bacterium. RNAcentral describes it as "partial 16S ribosomal RNA". It matches the Rfam family "Bacterial small subunit ribosomal RNA", at positions 29 to 507 of the family's 1533-position model. The record is from RNAcentral.